RNAcentral lists this transfer RNA (76 nucleotides) under Lebetimonas natsushimae. RNAcentral's name for it is "tRNA-Ala". It matches the Rfam family "tRNA". Rfam says of the family: Transfer RNA (tRNA) molecules are approximately 80 nucleotides in length. Lineage: Bacteria; Pseudomonadati; Campylobacterota; Epsilonproteobacteria; Nautiliales; Nautiliaceae. The record is from RNAcentral.
GGGGACAUAGCUCAGCUGGUAGAGCACUACGCUGGCAGCGUAGGGGUCACGGGUUCGAGUCCCGUUGUCUCCACCA